GGGUCAGUAGGUUGGUCGUGCCACCGGUACGUACUGGUCUCACUGAUUACUCCUUCCUGAAGAACCGUAAUGCCAUUAAUUUGGUGUUGCGGGGAAACAGGACUGUUACUUUGAAAAAAUUAGAGUGUUUAAAGCAAGCUAACGCUUGAAUACAUUAGCAUGGAAUAAUGAAAUAGGACGAUCGAUCCUAUUUUGUUGGUUUCUAGGAUUGACGUA
This 216-nucleotide ribosomal RNA is filed under the name Glomeromycotina sp. Its description in RNAcentral is "partial small subunit ribosomal RNA". The stretch from base 40 to 216 matches the Rfam family "Eukaryotic small subunit ribosomal RNA", at positions 686 to 864 of the family's 1831-position model. Lineage: Eukaryota; Fungi; Glomeromycota. The record is from RNAcentral.